RNAcentral lists this ribosomal RNA (253 nucleotides) under uncultured bacterium. Its description in RNAcentral is "partial 16S ribosomal RNA". It matches the Rfam family "Bacterial small subunit ribosomal RNA", at positions 524 to 776 of the family's 1533-position model. The record is from RNAcentral.
UACGUAGGGUGCAAGCGUUGUCCGGAAUUAUUGGGCGUAAAGGGCUCGUAGGCGGUCCGUCACGUCGGGAGUGAAAACUUGGGGCUUAACCCCAAGCCUGCUUCCGAUACGGGCGGACUAGAGGUAGGCAGGGGAGAACGGAAUUCCUGGUGUAGCGGUGAAAUGCGCAGAUAUCAGGAGGAACACCGGUGGCGAAGGCGGCAUCCUGGACCGACACUGACGCUGAGGCGCGAAAGCUAGGGGAGCAAACGGG